This 397-nucleotide ribosomal RNA is filed under the name uncultured bacterium. Its description in RNAcentral is "partial 16S ribosomal RNA". It matches the Rfam family "Bacterial small subunit ribosomal RNA", at positions 523 to 917 of the family's 1533-position model. The record is from RNAcentral.
AUACGUAGGGUGCGAGCGUUGUCCGGAAUUACUGGGCGUAAAGAGCUCGUAUGUGGUUUGUCGCGUCGUCUGUGAAAUUCCGGGGCUUAACUCCGGGCGUGCAGGCGUUACGGGCAUAACUUGAGUACUGUAGGGGAGACUGGAAUUCCUGGUGUAGCGGUGAAAUGCGCAGAUAUCAGGAGGAACACCGGUGGCGAAGGCGGGUCUCUGGGCAGUAACUGACGCUGAGGAGCGAAAGCAUGGGUAGCGAACAGGAUUAGAUACCCUGGUAGUCCAUGCCGUAAACGGUGGGCGCUAGGUGUAGGGGUCUUCCACGACUUCUGUGCCGUAGCUAACGCAUUAAGCGCCCCGCCUGGGGAGUACGGCCGCAAGGCUAAAACUCAAAUGAAUUGACGGG